UACGGAGGGUGCAAACGUUGCUCGGAAUUACUGGGCGUAAAGCGCGUGUAGGCGGGUCGGAAAGUCGGGCGUGAAAUCCCCAGGCUCAACCUGGGAACUGCACUCGAAACUUCCGGUCUAGAGUGGUGGAGAGGGAAGUGGAAUUCCUGGUGUAGAGGUGAAAUUCGUAGAUAUCGGGAGGAACACCAGUGGCGAAGGCGGCGACCUGGACAGAUAUUGACGCUGAGGUGCGAAAGCGUGGGGAGCAAACAGG
Molecule: ribosomal RNA, 253 nt
Filed under: uncultured bacterium
Lineage: Bacteria
Description: partial 16S ribosomal RNA
Rfam family: Bacterial small subunit ribosomal RNA
Source: RNAcentral